Molecule: transfer RNA, 77 nt
Filed under: Pseudomonadota bacterium
Lineage: Bacteria; Pseudomonadati; Pseudomonadota
Description: tRNA-Arg
Rfam family: tRNA
About the family: Transfer RNA (tRNA) molecules are approximately 80 nucleotides in length.
Source: RNAcentral
GGCCCCGUAGCUCAACUGGAUAGAGCGCAUCCCUCCUAAGGAUGAGGCUACAGGUUCAAGUCCUGUCGGGGUCACCA